This 392-nucleotide ribosomal RNA is filed under the name grassland soil clone saf1_108. Its description in RNAcentral is "bacterial SSU rRNA". It matches the Rfam family "Bacterial small subunit ribosomal RNA", at positions 50 to 490 of the family's 1533-position model. The record is from RNAcentral.
AACACAUGCAAGUCGAGCGCCUCGCAAGAGGAGCGGCAGACGGGUGAGUAACGCGUGGGAAUCUACCCAUCUCUACGGAACAACUCCGGGAAACUGGAGCUAAUACCGUAUACGUCCUUCGGGAGAAAGAUUUAUCGGAGAUGGAUGAGCCCGCGUUGGAUUAGCUAGUUGGUGGGGUAAUGGCCUACCAAGGCGACGAUCCAUAGCUGGUCUGAGAGGAUGAUCAGCCACACUGGGACUGAGACACGGCCCAGACUCCUACGGGAGGCAGCAGUGGGGAAUAUUGGACAAUGGGCGCAAGCCUGAUCCAGCCAUGCCGCGUGAGUGAUGAAGGCCCUAGGGUUGUAAAGCUCUUUCAACGGUGAAGAUAAUGACGGUAACCGUAGAAGAAG